This 1117-nucleotide long non-coding RNA is filed under the name Homo sapiens (human). RNAcentral's name for it is "HSALNT0061275". The record is from RNAcentral. Lineage: Eukaryota; Metazoa; Chordata; Mammalia; Primates; Hominidae.
UUACAGAACCAAGCACAGAGGACUCAGACAAAAGGUUUCUUUUCCACUUCUUGUAGCAAACUUGCCAAAGUUACCUAGCUAAUCAGUGUUAGGGGACUUUUAACCACCAAGCCGUGAACUUCUUGCACAGGCUCAGCAUGCUGAAAAGCCUAUCGAAUGGAAAUCAACAAUGUUUUAGAUCAAAGCUGUUCCAUUUUCCUGGAUCCUAGUGGGGAGCUAACAUGGCGCAGAGCCACAGCCAAUCCAAGGACAUGUGAAUCCUAGAAAAGAGGAGUUCCUCCAAGGCCCUGGAAUCAGAAACUUGGAUUGCCAGGUGAAGGAAACUAGGUUUUGCUUCAUCUGGGUGGUUGGCCAGGAUCCUGAGUGAGAGCCAUGGAUACCUAGUUGCUUUCCAGCUUGGACCUGCCCUCAGUGUUCUUCACUCCACACAACACAGCUGACCCAGACAUCAUGUGCAGGAGGUACCUCCUGACAGCAGGCUUGACACCAGCUACUGUCCAGCUCCCCAGUAAACCAGAUUCCCUCAUUGCUCCUAAUGGGGUCUAGACUGCAGGAGGAGGAAGCAGGUGGGCAAUGUCCAGAUUUCCAUGAUGACCCUCUGAGGAGAUAUCCGUGGCUAGGUUACUGCACGACUACAGCAUCACAGAGGAGACUCCAGAACUCAAACUACCAAGAGCACCCCUCCAUCAGCUUUGUUUCCUAACUCCUGGCCUGCCUCCUUUCUUGUGGCGCCAUCUCACAGCCAAAUGACAACAAGCCCUCUCUGUCCCUCACAGAAUGCCUGUGAUAAAAAGUUCCCUUUGCAGCCAGACCAGCUGAGACUGGUACAUAGAACCAAGACAGCUGACCAAAGGACUUCAAAAAGACCUCAGUCUUCAUGAUAAUCUUAUUUCCAUGCUAAAUGAUACUCCCUCCAGCACCACGACAGUUGACAAUUGCCAUGACAAUGACUGGAAGAAGCCGUAAAAGGACUAAAAGGGAGGCGGUACUACUGAUUCCAGGAGGUUCACCACCCACUUCUGGAAAAGACAUGAAUAUUCUUCCCUUUUCUUUUAAUGUCACCUCCUUCAUUAGAGAAAUCCUGUAUCUUAAGCCCCUCACCCUCACUUGUUGAGAA